CUCUCCCAUCCAUUCCAUGUCCGCCACUACCAGCAACUCACCAUCUACCUCAAGAGGUAUCCUCCCGAUCCAGAUCCACCCAGUCCAACUGCAGCCGACUACCAUCGCCUCUGUUUUCGUGCCCGACCAAGCCCCGGCUUCCCCGAGCAGCCUCACACGCCAAAGCCCCGAGCACCUGCUGGCCCCGCAAGCAGCAGCAGUUCCCGCAUCUCAGGCGAGCAGAAGCCACCUCCGGCAGGCCGUCCCACUUCCCCGCUGUCCUCGUCUGUCCGUCGUGCCGCCAGCAACCAACCCGCCGGAGCACCGCCGACCUUCCUCCGCCGUCAAGCACCAGCAAGCCGGGCUCCCCCUAUACUUCUUCCCCGAGCCGAUCGAACCAGCCUCUGCCUCCUCGCCAAGUACCAGUAGCAGGAAGCCCCGAGGAUGCAUCCCUUGAGCAGGGGAGCAGGCCCAUCGUCGUGCCCUCUGACAUGGAACUCGCGCCCUGCGCUGGCUCUGCGUCUUGCCGUCACGCCGCCGCUGGAGCACCGUUAGAGCUUCAUGGUCUCCGCCACCUUCAACCAUUGCCCACGUCCCGAUCCGAGUCAUCCACGCCAGGUCCUCCGUCCCCGCAGCGACGCCACGUCGGAGCCGUGCCAUCCCACCGCUCGCCGGAGUCCCUACGCCGUCGCUGCCUUCUAUCGAAUGCGAGCUCGAUCCCGUGCUUCCCUGCAUCGAAGGAACCAGGCGCGUUGACUGCGCCUGGGCCGGCCUCGCCUAGGCCCACUCGCCUCGCCUUCUGUAGCCCAACAUCACUGACCGGGUCAAGACCCCAUGGUGAGCCUCUAGUGCACGUAUGCUCCUGAUGGGCCAGCCAAAUUCGGCCAGUUAUGUUUUUUUUAUUGUCAAGACGAUUUUUCUAAUUAAUCCAGAGACUGCUGUUUACAGAUUGACCCCUAAUGUUCAUGCAUAUAAUAACUC
Molecule: non-coding RNA, 960 nt
Organism: Triticum urartu
Lineage: Eukaryota; Viridiplantae; Streptophyta; Magnoliopsida; Poales; Poaceae
Source: RefSeq, a predicted model, not a curated record